AUGAAUUUAGGGUACUCUCUUAACAAGAGGCCCGACCUUCAUCCUUCUACCCUGUGCACUAUUAUAACUUCGAUACUAACUGGUGGUCUCGGCCCUAGUGAAUUCGAAUUCAUCCUUAAACUCUACAAGUCUAAGAAUGUAACAAACCUAAAACAAAA
RNAcentral lists this unclassified non-coding RNA (158 nucleotides) under uncultured Basidiomycota. RNAcentral's name for it is "sequence contains ITS1". The record is from RNAcentral. Lineage: Eukaryota; Fungi; Basidiomycota.